Non-coding RNA from Myodes glareolus (Bank vole), 1212 nucleotides. NCBI's taxonomy places the organism in Eukaryota, Metazoa, Chordata, Mammalia, Rodentia, Cricetidae. The record is from RefSeq and is a predicted model, not a curated record.
CCUACAUUUCCCUUGGUGCAGGGGGAUCCUCAUGCUACCAUUGAUUAACGGGCUGAGCAUUGGAGAAGUCUUAUAAGCUGUUAUGUAUUCAGUCCUGUCCUGCAAAAUGACGGUGACAGCAAAUAGGGACCUGAGAGGCAGACGAGGGGCUCUUCAAAGUUCUCAUCAUAGUGUACAGAAUAUCAGAAGUCAGAAAGGGGUUAUCUUGGAAUAGAGGGGUUAUAUCUAUUUUCAAUUUUCUUAUUUUAUUUAAAUAUUUUAAAUUUUCUAUAAAUAUUUUUAACCUGUUGCCACAGGAGAAGGGAAGUUUAAUUGAAAAAAAAAACCCGUGAAAUACUAAAUGAGGACACAAAGACAUUUCUUCCUCUUGUCUAGUGAUUUUCUCCAAAUAACUUCUCCAAAAAAAAAAAAUACCUUUUGCAGAAGCCAAGUGCUGUGCCUACGGGAAAGCACUCAUCAUGGCUCUUUAGAGGCAGCCUGUCUGCCUCAGAGCUAGCACUGAGUUUUUGGCUGUGGUGUGGCAUCCACCUAACCAGAUGUAUUCAAAUGUGGCUAUUGAGAUGAUAGCUAGCACCCGUGUCCAGAGACAAAGACAUUGUCACGAGACCGAGGAAGAGGGCAGAAGUCCAUUGACGGCCCGAGAUCGCAUGAGAUGCAUGUGAAGCCGGUGAGGAAUGGUGAUUUCUUUCUCUACCAAUGCUCGUCUUCCCGAGUUUGGAAAACGGGAGUUCAGUCCUGCUCCUCAGGCCUUUCCCACGCCACCACGUGGGGCUAAGUGACUUCAGAAGGAAGAGAGAAGCCUCAAUCCAGCAUCUUGAUGCGAUGGGCAGCUUCAGGCAUGUUGUUCUGAGCCUUGUGAGGAAUCAACCAUACUGAAGUGCUUUACUCUGUGAAGCUAAGUCAAGACUUGCACCAACUGCGGAUGGAUACAGACACUGCCAUGGACACAAAGUCGCCCCAUCAGGAAGUAAGAAGCUAGAGGUUUCCCCAAACUCUCCAAGAUGCUAAGGUGCUAGCAGCUCAGUUGGCCAUUGGAACAUACCUCUCACAGAAAUAGUCCGACCCAGGAAACCAAGGGCGGAGUGUAAAGUUAACUGGCCAGUCUUGGGCACUGCUUUCCUGCAGAGCAGGUGUCAGCGUGACUGUACCUGACUGUGUAUCCUAGUGAAGGGGUAGGUGUGAAAAUCCUACCCCGUCUGUCUCCAGAGCAGG